UACGAAGGGGGCUAGCGUUGCUCGGAAUUACUGGGCGUAAAGCGCACGUAGGCGGCUUUCUAAGUCGGGGGUGAAAUCCUGGAGCUCAACUCCAGAACUGCCUUCGAUACUGGAAAGCUCGAGUCCGGGAGAGGUGAGUGGAACUGCGAGUGUAGAGGUGAAAUUCGUAGAUAUUCGCAAGAACACCAGUGGCGAAGGCGGCCCACUGGCCCGGUACUGACGCUGAGGUGCGAAAGCGUGGGGAGCAAACAGG
Molecule: ribosomal RNA, 253 nt
Filed under: uncultured bacterium
Lineage: Bacteria
Description: partial 16S ribosomal RNA
Rfam family: Bacterial small subunit ribosomal RNA
Source: RNAcentral